GCGGGUUUAGCUCAUCCGGUAGAGCGUCUGCUUCCCAAGCAGAAGGCGAGGGGUUCGAGUCCCCUUAUCCGCUCCA
RNAcentral lists this transfer RNA (76 nucleotides) under Ruminococcaceae bacterium OttesenSCG-928-O06. Its description in RNAcentral is "tRNA-Gly". It matches the Rfam family "tRNA". From Rfam's summary of the family: Transfer RNA (tRNA) molecules are approximately 80 nucleotides in length. Their secondary structure includes four short double-helical elements and three loops (D, anti-codon, and T loops). Lineage: Bacteria; Bacillati; Bacillota; Clostridia; Eubacteriales; Oscillospiraceae. The record is from RNAcentral.